AGUGUACAUUGUUUUGUGCAUAGUUGUUUGACUUUGAGAGGGCGGGACUCUUUGGAGAGCGAAAUGAACUAGGCGCGGCCAAAAAAGAGCCCCAUCCAUCUAUCACACGUGUAGACAAAGGGGGACUCCACAACACAAAGCUAGAUGUGCCCUCUCAAACUUUUUUUUUUUCCUACAACCGACAGCAGCGCGCGCACAGGAAGCCGACUGCCCAGGUGAGUUGUCUCCAAGCGGCACACUGUCUUUGCUUUCAAUCCUCGAGCGAUUUUUUGGAAUUUAUUCCCAGUUAAAAGUUGCGGCUGUAGUUGGUGCGUCAGCGCUCAAACUUGAGCACAAAGCAGGAGGGAGAGGGAGAGAGAGCUAGAGAAAUCGAGGCAGCAAGGAAGGAGAGAGAGAGAGGGAGCGAGAGGAGCGGUCCCCUGUUCCUUUGUCUGAUGCGGGUCGCUUUGAGGAGAGAACUUGAGGGGGAUGCUCACACACGCAUCUCCAUAACGCUCAUUAACACUCAACUUGUGCUACUUAGAAGCAAUUGUCAGGGAGCUUUCAUGGAGUUGAGGCAGAGUUUGUGGGGUUGCUGUAUUUUUUUGUCUCUCGAGGAUGUUGCGACACAAGACAAAGCCUGUCAGAAGUUUGCGGAGGAAAGGACCUUUUUACGCACGCGAGAAAAAUCACAGUUGGCUGAUGGAUAGUUUGUAAAUACUUCUUUUUUCCUUCUUAGUGCAGUAGUUUUAUGACUGUUGUGUUUACGUUCUUGCGAAGUUGUCUUUCUGCACUAUGGGAAUUCCGCGCAGUGCAAUCAGGUGUAAAGUCUCCAAGAAACAAGAAACGGUGGGAAUUUAAGCAAUUUAACCAGUACAGUGCUUGCUUCUGAUGGAUUAAGAAAAUAAAAAAGAUGUGUAGAAAAAAAAACACACGGAAGAUGUACAGAUUCACCUAUCAAGCCAUUUUUAAGAUGAAAUGAAGGAUUAAGAGACUGUUCACUUUUCUUCUGGAUGAACAUGAAGACUUAUCUCAUGAGGAUUUAGACUUCAGCAGCAGCAGCGCCAGUCGGAUUGUGUUUUAGGCACACUUGGAAAUCUAAACCUCAUGGAGAUACUUUGAGGAUUAUAAAAGAUGUGCAUGUAGAAUGCCACCAUACAAGACGCGUCCUGGGCCAAAGUCCUUGGGAUAGCAGGAUAUUGCUUUCCUGAUCCUUCUCAGCCCCCAGAAUGGGGAGUGUGGGAGUGGUGAGGUCUGGGAGAUCACGACCUUAAUUCUCUCCAAGACAGACGGUUUAAUUAACACUGGAAGAAUCCUCACUGACUCCAGACCUCUACAGUGAGAAUGUACAGGGGAAUUGGCUUGCCAAGGUCCUCUUGGCCAUAGACUGAAAUGCUGACAGACGAUGCCCAUGAAUGAUGAAUGAUGACUGGAGGUCUGUCUGGUGCCAGCAGAAUGCAUAAUACAGCAUCGAUACAGCAAUCGCAGUCCUCCUCAGCAGAAACAUGGUGCAGUUUCUGUAUCACAUUAUUGGAAGAUUUGCCCCAAGCAGGACAGCAGGACCACUCAAAGUGGAAAUCAACCGCAAUGUUGAAUGUUGUUUCGGUUGGAGUCCUAAAUGAAGCAGCAUUACAAAGAGUUUUCUGGUGUGUCAGAGUGAGGCUCAGUGGGAAAGAUUGCUGUGUCUAGACAGGAGUGUGAGGUGCAGAUCUACACAGAAGCUUACAGGAAACUGAAGAAGACGGGUGAGGUUAAAGAGGACAGCACGAUGGAAAAAACAAGAAUGAAAGCAGCCAGUGAUAAAUAUUAACUUUUGUGAAACAUUUUGAGCAUUUGCAUCACUAAAAGUCCUCAUAUAUAGCUGUUUGUCAUCGCCUUAAACUGCUAGAAUUUGAUUUUAAAAAUACGGGUAUCAUGUAGCGGUUCGAGUUAGAAGCUGGGAAUAUGCAAUCACAUCUGUAAGAGUUACAUUUCGCAGCUCAUUGUAUCUCUGACUGCAAAAUAAAGUUUGAUAACAAUCUGUUUUUGUGUUAUUAAUAUGUUGUAUGGAAAUAAAGAAAAAAAACCAAUGAAAGCACUUUUUAAAUGCUUUUUUGUAAAUCUGUUUUAAAAAAAAACAAUAUGUCUGCACAAGGGCCUGUAAUUAAAAGGGAAAAGGGC
This is a long non-coding RNA of Astatotilapia calliptera (eastern happy), 2139 nucleotides long. The record is from Ensembl. NCBI's taxonomy places the organism in Eukaryota, Metazoa, Chordata, Actinopteri, Cichliformes, Cichlidae.